This 1406-nucleotide ribosomal RNA is filed under the name uncultured bacterium. RNAcentral's name for it is "bacterial SSU rRNA". It matches the Rfam family "Bacterial small subunit ribosomal RNA". The record is from RNAcentral.
GAGUUUGAUCCUGGCUCAGGACGAACGCUGGCGGCGUGCCUAAUACAUGCAAGUAGAACGCUGAAGAGAGGAGCUUGCUCUUCUUGGAUGAGUUGCGAACGGGUGAGUAACGCGUAGGUAACCUGCCUUGUAGCGGGGGAUAACUAUUGGAAACGAUAGCUAAUACCGCAUAACAAUGGAUGACACAUGUCAUUUAUUUGAAAGGGGCAAUUGCUCCACUACAAGAUGGACCUGCGUUGUAUUAGCUAGUAGGUGAGGUAACGGCUCACCUAGGCGACGAUACAUAGCCGACCUGAGAGGGUGAUCGGCCACACUGGGACUGAGACACGGCCCAGACUCCUACGGGAGGCAGCAGUAGGUAAUCUUCGGCAAUGGGGGCAACCCUGACCGAGCAACGCCGCGUGAGUGAAGAAGGUUUUCGGAUCGUAAAGCUCUGUUGUAAGUCAAGAACGAGUGUGAGAGUGGAAAGUUCACACUGUGACGGUAGCUUACCAGAAAGGGACGGCUAACUACGUGCCAGCAGCCGCGGUAAUACGUAGGUCCCGAGCGUUGUCCGGAUUUAUUGGGCGUAAAGCGAGCGCAGGCGGUUUGAUAAGUCUGAAGUUAAAGGCUGUGGCUCAACCAUAGUUCGCUUUGGAAACUGUCAAACUUGAGUGCAGAAGGGGAGAGUGGAAUUCCAUGUGUAGCGGUGAAAUGCGUAGAUAUAUGGAGGAACACCGGUGGCGAAAGCGGCUCUCUGGUCUGUAACUGACGCUGAGGCUCGAAAGCGUGGGGAGCGAACAGGAUUAGAUACCCUGGUAGUCCACGCCGUAAACGAUGAGUGCUAGGUGUUGGAUCCUUUCCGGGAUUCAGUGCCGCAGCUAACGCAUUAAGCACUCCGCCUGGGGAGUACGACCGCAAGGUUGAAACUCAAAGGAAUUGACGGGGGCCCGCACAAGCGGUGGAGCAUGUGGUUUAAUUCGAAGCAACGCGAAGAACCUUACCAGGUCUUGACAUCCCGAUGCUAUUUCUAGAGAUAGAAAGUUACUUCGGUACAUCGGUGACAGGUGGUGCAUGGUUGUCGUCAGCUCGUGUCGUGAGAUGUUGGGUUAAGUCCCGCAACGAGCGCAACCCCUAUUGUUAGUUGCCAUCAUUCAGUUGGGCACUCUAGCGAGACUGCCGGUAAUAAACCGGAGGAAGGUGGGGAUGACGUCAAAUCAUCAUGCCCCUUAUGACCUGGGCUACACACGUGCUACAAUGGUUGGUACAACGAGUUGCGAGUCGGUGACGGCAAGCUAAUCUCUUAAAGCCAAUCUCAGUUCGGAUUGUAGGCUGCAACUCGCCUACAUGAAGUCGGAAUCGCUAGUAAUCGCGGAUCAGCACGCCGCGGUGAAUACGUUCCCGGGCCUGUACACACCGCCCGUCAA